RNAcentral lists this ribosomal RNA (813 nucleotides) under Nigrohirschioporus trimiticus. RNAcentral's name for it is "partial large subunit ribosomal RNA". It matches the Rfam family "Eukaryotic large subunit ribosomal RNA", at positions 79 to 878 of the family's 3401-position model. Lineage: Eukaryota; Fungi; Basidiomycota; Agaricomycetes; Hymenochaetales; Hirschioporaceae. The record is from RNAcentral.
CCUAGUAACUGCGAGUGAAGCGGGAAAAGCUCAAAUUUAAAAUCUGACGGCUCUGUCGUCCGAGUUGUAAUCUGGAGAAGCGUUUUCCGCGUCGGACCGUGUACAAGUCUCUUGGAAUAGAGCGUCAUAGAGGGUGAGAAUCCCGUAUAUGGCACGGACAGCCGAUGCUCUGUGAUACGCUCUCGAAGAGUCGAGUUGUUUGGGAAUGCAGCUCAAAAGGGGUGGUAAAUUCCAUCUAAAGCUAAAUAUAGGCGAGAGACCGAUAGCGAACAAGUACCGUGAGGGAAAGAUGAAAAGCACUUUGGAAAGAGAGUUAAACAGUACGUGAAAUUGUUGAAAGGGAAACGCUUGAAGUCAGUCGCGUCUGCCGAGACUCAGCCUUACCUCGGUUUGGUGUACUUCUCGGUUGGACGGGUCAACAUCGGUUUUGACCGACGGAUAAGGGAGGAUUGAAUGUGGCACCCUCGGGUGUGUUAUAGCUUUUCUUCGUAUACGCCGGUGGGGACCGAGGACUGCAGCGCGCCCUUGUGGCCGAGGCUUUGCCUACGUAACGCGCUUAGGAUGUUGACAUAAUGGCUUUAAGCGACCCGUCUUGAAACACGGACCAAGGAGUCUAACAUGCUCGCGAGUGUUAGGGUGGAAAACCCUUGCGCGGAAUGAAAGUGAAAGUUGGGACCUCUGCGAGGAGGGCACCGACGCCCGGCCCUGAAGUUCUCUGACGGUGCUGCGGUAGAGCGCGUAUGUUGUGACCCGAAAGAUGGUGAACUAUGCCUGAAUAGGGCGAAGCCAGAGGAAACUCUGGUGGAGGCUCGU